UAAAAGGGUUUUCCGUAGGUGACCUGCGGAGGUCAUUACCGAGUUGAUUCGAGCUCCGGCUCGACUCUCCCACCUUAAGUGUACCUACCUCUGUUGCUUUGGCGGGCCGCGGUCCUCCGCACCGGCGCCCUUCGGGGGGCUGGCCAGCGCCCGCCAGAGGACCAUAAAACUCCAGUCAGUGAACUUCGCAGUCUGAAAAACAAGUUAAUAAACUAAAACUUUCAACAACGGAUCUCUUGGUUCUGGCAUCGAUGAAGAACGCAGCGAAAUGCGAUAAGUAAUGUGAAUUGCAGAAUUCAGUGAAUCAUCGAAUCUUUGAACGCACAUUGCGCCCCUUGGUAUUCCGAGGGGCAUGCCUGUUCGAGCGUCAUUUCAACCCUCAAGCUCUGCUUGGUAUUGGGCCCCGUCCUCCACGGACGCGCCUUAAAGACCUCGGCGGUGGCGUCUUGCCUCAAGCGUAGUAGAAAACACCUCGCUUUGGAGCGCACGGCGUCGCCCGCCGGACGAACCUUUGAAUUAUUUCUCAAGGUUGACCUCGGAUCAGGUAGGGAUACCCGCUGAACUUAAGCAUAUCAAUAAGCGGAGGAA
RNAcentral lists this ribosomal RNA (588 nucleotides) under fungal endophyte. RNAcentral's name for it is "eukaryotic LSU rRNA". The stretch from base 217 to 370 matches the Rfam family "5.8S ribosomal RNA". Lineage: Eukaryota; Fungi. The record is from RNAcentral.